RNAcentral lists this ribosomal RNA (301 nucleotides) under uncultured bacterium. RNAcentral describes it as "partial 16S ribosomal RNA". It matches the Rfam family "Bacterial small subunit ribosomal RNA", at positions 509 to 808 of the family's 1533-position model. The record is from RNAcentral.
CAGCAGCCGCGGUAAUACGUAGGGUGCAAGCGUUAAUCGGAAUUACUGGGCGUAAAGCGUGCGCAGGCGGUUAUAUAAGACAGAUGUGAAAUCCCCGGGCUCAACCUGGGAACUGCAUUUGUGACUGUAUAGCUAGAGUACGGCAGAGGGGGAUGGAAUUCCGCGUGUAGCAGUGAAAUGCGUAGAUAUGCGGAGGAACACCGAUGGCGAAGGCAAUCCCCUGGGCCUGUACUGACGCUCAUGCACGAAAGCGUGGGGAGCAAACAGGAUUAGAUACCCCGUAGUCCCUGUCUCUUAUACA